Molecule: unclassified non-coding RNA, 332 nt
Filed under: soil metagenome
Description: partial contains 5.8S ribosomal RNA, internal transcribed spacer 2, and large subunit ribosomal RNA
Rfam family: 5.8S ribosomal RNA (bases 1-120)
Source: RNAcentral
GAUGAAGAACGAAGCGAAAUGCGAUAAGUAAUGUGAAUUGCAGAAUUCAGUGAAUCAUCGAAUCUUUGAACGCACAUUGCGCCCGCCAGUAUUCUGGCGGGCAUGCCUGUCCGAGCGUCAUUUCAACCAUCAAGCCCCGGGCUUGUGUUGGGGACCUGCGUCCGACGCAGGCCCUGAAAACCAGUGGCGGGCUCGCUGUCCACACCGAGCGUAGUAACUAACCUCGCUAUGGAGUGGCGCGGGCGCCUGCCGUAAAACCCCCAAUUUCACAAGGUUGACCUCGGAUCAGGUAGGAAUACCCGCUGAACUUAAGCAUAUCAAUAAGCGGAGGA